Long non-coding RNA from Gracilinanus agilis (Agile Gracile Mouse Opossum), 367 nucleotides. RefSeq lists it as uncharacterized. The transcript has 5 exons. NCBI's taxonomy places the organism in Eukaryota, Metazoa, Chordata, Mammalia, Didelphimorphia, Didelphidae. The record is from RefSeq and is a predicted model, not a curated record.
ACUCCCAGGAAGAGUUAAACAAUCUUCUGAUUGUUGAUAAAAUUCAUUUUGAAAAGCUCACUGUUCUUUUUCCAAGUUGACACAGUGGAAGAUGAGAAGGAAAAGUGACUUGACCAUUUUGGCAUGUCUGGACAGGAGUAGCCUGGAAGAUUUGAGAAGUUGCUCUUGGUUCACAGAUUUCCUAUUAUAGCCAUGCCUCUUCCCUUUCAAAGGACUGUGGGACACCAUGGAAGAUUUGAGAAGUUGCCCAUCAUUCACAAAUUUUCCGUUAGGACUAUCCCUCUUUGUUUUGAACAGGGUUUUAGGAUUCUUCCCAGCAAGAACUGAGCAGUCUUCCUCCUGUGAACAAAUUUUCAUUUUGAAAAGC